CAGUGGCGAACGGGUGAGUAACACGUGGGAAAUCUGCCCUGCACUNUGGGACAAGCCUUGGAAACGAGGUCUAAUACCGGAUAUGACCUUCCUCUGCAUGGGGGUUGGUGGAAAGCUCCGGCGGUGCAGGAUGAUCCCGCGGCCUAUCAGCUUGUUGGUGGGGUAAUGGCCUACCAAGGCGACGACGGGUAGCCGGCCUGAGAGGGCGACCGGCCACACUGGGACUGAGACACGGCCCAGACUCCUACGGGAGGCAGCAGUGGGGAAUAUUGCACAAUGGGCGAAAGCCUGAUGCAGCGACGCCGCGUGAGGGAUGACGGCCUUCGGGUUGUAAACCUCUUUCAGCAGGGAAGAAGCGCAAGUGACGGUACCUGCAGAAGAAGCACCGGCUAACUACGUGCCAGCAGCCGCGGUAAUACGUAGGGUGCGAGCGUUGUCCGGAAUUAUUGGGCGUAAAGAGCUCGUAGGCGGCCUGUCGCGUCGGAUGUGAAAGCCCGGGCUUACCCCCGGGUCUGCAUUCGAUACGGGCAGGCUAGAGUGUGGUAGGGGAGAUCGGAAUUCCU
Molecule: ribosomal RNA, 563 nt
Filed under: Kitasatospora sp. 337B12
Lineage: Bacteria; Bacillati; Actinomycetota; Actinomycetes; Kitasatosporales; Streptomycetaceae
Description: bacterial SSU rRNA
Rfam family: Bacterial small subunit ribosomal RNA
Source: RNAcentral